This 301-nucleotide ribosomal RNA is filed under the name uncultured bacterium. RNAcentral's name for it is "partial 16S ribosomal RNA". It matches the Rfam family "Bacterial small subunit ribosomal RNA", at positions 509 to 807 of the family's 1533-position model. The record is from RNAcentral.
CAGCAGCCACGGUAAUACGGAGGGAGCUAGCGUUAUUCGGAAUUACUGGGCGUAAAGCGCACGUAGGCGGCUUUGUAAGUAAGAGGUGAAAGCCUGGUGCUCAACACCAGAACUGCCUUUUAGACUGCAUCGCUUGAAUCCAGGAGAGGUGAGUGGAAUUCCGAGUGUAGAGGUGAAAUUCGUAGAUAUUCGGAAGAACACCAGUGGCGAAGGCGGCUCACUGGACUGGUAUUGACGCUGAGGUGCGAAAGCGUGGGGAGCAAACAGGAUUAGAGACCCCCGUAGUCCCUGUCUCUUAUAC